ACUGCCCCUUUUUUUGCCUGCGAAUGGCGGCGAUUUGAAGUUGGGGCUUUUCGUUUCCUCCAAAACAUUGAUAUCUGGAAAGGGAGCCCCUUAACACUUUUGGAGGGAACUGGCUGCAGCAUUUGGCGGGGAGAGAUAAACUGGUUUCCCACCUCUGCUUACUCCCACCUUCUCCCCUUAAUCUUCUCUUCCUCUGUGCGAGACUUUUUUCCUUUUUUAUUGUAGACACAGGGUCUUUGUUCUGCUGCCCAGGUUGGAGUGCAGUGGCGUGAUCAUAGCUCACUGCAGCCUCAACCCCCCGGGCCCAAGCGAUCCUUCCACCUCAGCCUCCCGAGUAGCUGGGCCUAGAGGUGCACACCACCAUGCCUGGCUAAUUUUUAAUUUUUUUUGUAGAGAUGGAGCCUUUCUAUGUUGCCAAGCCUAGCCUCGAACUCCUGGCCUCCCAAAAUGUGGGGAAUACAGGCGUGAGCCACUGCACCCCGGGUCAUUCCUCUUUUACUUCCUUGCUGUACCCCAACUAUCCUUCCCCCUCGGUGCCCUUAAAACCUUUGCAUUGGGACUUAACGGUAAUAGAAUGGCAUUCCUCACUGCCUCCGAACCACUCAAGCUGCUGCCCAUGCACUCUCUUCUGCAUGGCUCCUGGACUAAGCAGCCUCCCUUUGAUUAAGCAGAGACAAGAAUCUCACUCUGUCAUCUGUGGCAAGAUCAUCUUACUGAGGCCUCAAACUCCCGGGCUCCAGCGAUCCCCCUCGGGCCUCUCAGCCUCCUGCGUAGCUAGAACUACAGGAAUGUGCCAGCAUGCCUAGCUAAUUUUUUUUUUUUUUUUGAGACAGAAUUUUGCUCUUGUUGCCCAGGCUGGAGUGCAAUGGUGUGAUCUCUGCUCACCGUAACCUCCAUAUCCUGGGUUCAAGCAAUUCUUCUGCCUCAGCCUCCCAAGUAGCUGGGAUUACAGGUGCCUGCCACUAAACCAGGCUAAUUUUUGUAUUUUUAGCAGAGAUGGGGUUUCACCAUGUUGGACAGGCUAGCUAGUCUCGAACUCCUAACCUCAGGUGAUCAACCUGCCUCAGCCUCCCAAAGUGCUGGGAUUACAGGCAUAAGCCACCAUGCCCAACCAUGCCCAGCUAAUUUUAAAAUUUUGUGUAGGGAUGGGGUCUCACUAUGUUGCCCACGCUGGUCUCAAACUCCUGGCCUCAAGCAAACCUCCUUACUUGACCUCGCAAAGUGCUGGAAUUACAGGCAUGAGCCACCGCGCCUGGUCUUCAGCCACAUUUAUCUAACAGGAAAACACAGCAACUAACCAAGACUCCGCAAAAUUCUAUUCAUCCCACUGGGCUCCGACUCAGGAAUUGUUUCCAAAUACUGGAUGGCCCGGAUCUCAAACAAACCUACAAGGAAAAACUCAUGUUGGUGAAACUGUGUAACACUCCAGACUGGGAAUUACAUAAAAUUCUGUGCUUAUAACCAGUGUAUUAUUUCCAGGGCUAAAACAAUAUUACAAAAUAAUUCUCAUAAUAAACAACUCAGAUUUUAAGCCCUUGUCGCUUUACAAUACUUUUUAUUCAUAAUAUAGUAAAAUCUUUCAAGGUAUUCACUAAAUAGAGAGGGAGAACUUUAUAAUGAAACUGACCUUUAACUCCACUUUUCCGAAGCUCUCGGUCCUGGAUGAAUCCUGCAAACAUCUGAGUUUCCAUGAAGAGAUCCAGGAAGUGGCGUACACUUCGGGAGGUGUGGGACUUACGGAAUGGUUCCCUUUGGAAAACACGCUCCCCACGCUCAGUGACAGUCAUGUUCAAAGAAUAAUGUCCUACCAACUCCACAAAAAACCUGACAAAUGCUUCGGACACCAGAGAGUUGAGUGUCACAUCUGCUGCAACAUGAAAAAGAAAAAAAGAAAAAAAUCUCCUCAGUUAUCUGUAUCUGGAAACACUGGCUCUGGUUAUGGAAGUCGUGCCUAAGAAGUUAUAGAUUAAAGGACUGAGAAUAAAUCUAGGAGUGUUCAUUCUUCACUUUCUUUCUGCACGACCUAGAAAAGGCUAAUUGCUUCUACCCUUCC
Molecule: long non-coding RNA, 2053 nt
Filed under: Homo sapiens (human)
Lineage: Eukaryota; Metazoa; Chordata; Mammalia; Primates; Hominidae
Description: HSALNT0294793
Source: RNAcentral